Long non-coding RNA from Salvia miltiorrhiza (redroot sage), 217 nucleotides. RefSeq lists it as uncharacterized. The transcript has 2 exons. Lineage: Eukaryota; Viridiplantae; Streptophyta; Magnoliopsida; Lamiales; Lamiaceae. The record is from RefSeq and is a predicted model, not a curated record.
GGGCUAUGAUCGCAGUCGUUGUUACCGCAGGGGUAGGGGACAAGAAGACGAUUAUUAAUGUGUGUAGAUACUUAACCGAUGGAGUUAUCUUGCGUAUAAGUCUUGCCUACUUGGAGCUGAACAAUAUUCUAUCAUCAUAUUAGAUGAAGCUCAUUAGAGGCUGCACAAGUAUUGUUCAGCCUAUUGAGUCAUUUUGUCCCUUAUUUUGAUUCAUGUU